RNAcentral lists this ribosomal RNA (506 nucleotides) under uncultured bacterium. RNAcentral's name for it is "partial 16S ribosomal RNA". It matches the Rfam family "Bacterial small subunit ribosomal RNA", at positions 30 to 523 of the family's 1533-position model. The record is from RNAcentral.
AUUGAACGCUGGCGGCAGGCCUAACACAUGCAAGUCGAACGGUAACAGGAAGAAGCUUGCUUCUUUGCUGACGAGUGGCGGACGGGUGGGUAAUGUCUGGGAAACUGCCUGAUGGAGGGGGAUAACUACUGGAAACGGUAGCUAAUACCGCAUAACGUCGCAAGACCAAAGAGGGGGACCUUCGGGCCUCUUGCCAUCGGAUGUGCCCAGAUGGGAUUAGCUAGUUGGUGGGGUAACGGCUCACCAAGGCGACGGUCCCUAGCUGGUCUGAGAGGAUGACCAGCCACAAUGGAACUGAGACACGGUCCAGACUCCUACGGGAGGCAGCAGUGGGGAAUAUUGCACAAUGGGCGCAAGCCUGAUGCAGCCAUGCCGCGUGUAUGAAGAAGGCCUUCGGGUUGUAAAGUACUUUCAGCGGGGAGGAAGGGAGUAAAGUUAAUACCUUUGCUCAUUGACGUUACCCGCAGAAGAAGCACCGGCUAACUCCGUGCCAGCAGCCGCAGUAA